UACGUAGGUGGCAAGCGUUGUCCGGAAUUAUUGGGCGUAAAGCGCGCGCAGGCGGUCCUUUAAGUCUGAUGUGAAAGCCCACGGCUCAACCGUGGAGGGUCAUUGGAAACUGGGGGACUUGAGUGCAGGAGAGAAGAGUGGAAUUCCACGUGUAGCGGUGAAAUGCGUAGAGAUGUGGAGGAACACCGAUGGCGAAGGCAGCGCCCUGGGAUGUGACUGACGCUCAUGUACGAAAGCGUGGGGAGCAAACAGG
RNAcentral lists this ribosomal RNA (253 nucleotides) under uncultured bacterium. Its description in RNAcentral is "partial 16S ribosomal RNA". It matches the Rfam family "Bacterial small subunit ribosomal RNA", at positions 524 to 776 of the family's 1533-position model. The record is from RNAcentral.